RNAcentral lists this ribosomal RNA (454 nucleotides) under uncultured bacterium. RNAcentral's name for it is "bacterial SSU rRNA". It matches the Rfam family "Bacterial small subunit ribosomal RNA", at positions 8 to 507 of the family's 1533-position model. The record is from RNAcentral.
AGAGUUUGAUCAUGGCUCAGAACGAACGCUGGCGGCAGGCUUAACACAUGCAAGUCGAACGCGUGUAGCAAUACACGAGUGGCGCACGGGUGAGUAACGCGUGGAUAUCUGCCUUUUGGUCGGAAUAACUCCGGGAAACUGGAGCUAAUACCGGAUGGUUCCUACGGGAUAAAGAUUUAUCGCCAAAAGAUGAGUCCGCGUACGAUUAGCUAGUUGGUGAGGUAAUGGCUCACCAAGGCGACGAUCGUUAGCUGGUCUGAGAGGACGAUCAGCCACACUGGGACUGAGACACGGCCCAGACUCCUACGGGAGGCAGCAGUGGGGAAUAUUGGACAAUGGGGGCAACCCUGAUCCAGCCAUGCCGCGUGAGUGAUGAAGGCCUUCGGGUUGUAAAGCUCUUUUGGCGGGGACGAUGAUGACGGUACCCGCAGAAUAAGCCCCGGCUAACUUCGUG